AUCUGACUUGCAGUAUUGUAGUCAAUGAAAGGAAGAUGCAUGAGGUGUUGACAAGCAUUUGGUAAAUCAUAGUAACAAUUAAUUUAACUGGAAUCAGAUUAUGGCUGAAUAUUGCCAACUGAUGUCCUAAGCACAGUCCAACAAAGGCACUCCUAAUUUCUUCCAUUGCUUAAUUGACAAGAUAUUAAGACUCAAUAUCUGUUGUGCGCCUUUGGCGUUGAGUCAUGCUGGCCACAUGACCACGGAGACGUCUUCGGACACCGCUGGCUCUUCAGCUUUGAAACGGAGAUGAGCACCGCCCCCUAGACUCGGCAACGACUAGCAUAGACGGAGACCAGAAGAAUUGGAAAGCAAGUCUGCAGAUAGCUGGAGUACAGAGCCCUUGGUGGUGCUGGAGACUACUGUAUGUUGGAGAAGGAGCUGGCAUCUCUGAACCUAGAGUAUAUCAAGUUCCCAAAGGUUGGCAGAAGCUGGGACAAGGAACCGGAGCUCACCCCGUUAUGCAGCGCUAGGGAUUCGAACCGCUGAACUGCCGACCUUUCGAUUGACAAGCUCAGCAUCUCUUACCCACUAAGCCGCCACGUCCCUUACAGUAUGCAGGGGCAUUCACAGAAGAUUCAAAAAUCUCAAAACAGUAGCUGCAACUGUAGCAUUGAAGACCCUGCUCCAUUUUAUAUGCAAUGUUUUAUACUCCCAUCCCCUACAUCUGGUUAAGGUUGAAUCAGUUUCUGUCUGCAGCUUUUGAAAUAAAGACUUUUCCACAACAGUCCUUUGAGUUUUUUCCUAUUUGUUCCAAGCUCCCAGUCAUUUGCUUUGUCAAUGUGGAACCUUAUGUCAACAGAUUACAAGAAGUCCUUGACUUACAACCAUAACUGAGCCCAACAUUUCUGUUGCUAAGCAAGAUGUUUGUGAGUUUUGCCCCAU
Long non-coding RNA from Ahaetulla prasina, 924 nucleotides. RefSeq lists it as uncharacterized. The record is from RefSeq and is a predicted model, not a curated record. NCBI's taxonomy places the organism in Eukaryota, Metazoa, Chordata, Lepidosauria, Squamata, Colubridae. The transcript is spliced from 5 exons.